UACAGAGGUCCCAAGCGUUGUUCGGAUUCACUGGGCGUAAAGGGUGCGCAGGUGGCUGGGUAAGUUUGAUGUGAAAGCCCCGGGCUUAACCCGGGAACGGCAUUGAAUACUAUCUGGCUGGAGGGUUGGAGGGGGGACUGGAAUUCUCGGUGUAGCAGUGAAAUGCGUAGAUAUCGAGAGGAACACCAGUGGCGAAGGCGGCAUCCUGGACCGGUAUUGACGCUGAGGCGCGAAAGCUAGGGGAGCAAACGGG
Molecule: ribosomal RNA, 253 nt
Filed under: uncultured bacterium
Lineage: Bacteria
Description: partial 16S ribosomal RNA
Rfam family: Bacterial small subunit ribosomal RNA
Source: RNAcentral